CAGACAAACACCUGUGGAGUCUUUCGCAGUACCUGUGGUUUUAUCUGCUUUCAGGUCAGCAAAGAAACAGAAUCCAGAGUUGUGAGCUCUGCACUGUAAAUGUCCCUGAAUCCUGCACUUCGUGAGGAAGCAGCAGUAGCUCCACUGCAAGUCAGUGCUACCUAUGUAGAACUUGAGAACAUCUCUUGCAUAUCUGUCUCCAGGAUUCCCUCCCCUGCAGAACCAUUUCAUAAGGUGAAAAUGUAGGACAAAUAAACAAGAAAGAGCAGCUGACA
Molecule: long non-coding RNA, 275 nt
Filed under: Junco hyemalis (dark-eyed junco)
Lineage: Eukaryota; Metazoa; Chordata; Aves; Passeriformes; Passerellidae
Description: lncRNA (ENSJHYG00000009440.1)
Source: RNAcentral